This 510-nucleotide ribosomal RNA is filed under the name uncultured bacterium. Its description in RNAcentral is "bacterial SSU rRNA". It matches the Rfam family "Bacterial small subunit ribosomal RNA", at positions 8 to 523 of the family's 1533-position model. The record is from RNAcentral.
AGAGUUUGAUCCUGGCUCAGGAUGAACGCUGGCGGCGUGCUUAACACAUGCAAGUCGAACGAAGCAUUUUUUCUUCUUCGGAAGAGGAAAUGACUGAGUGGCGGACGGGUGAGUAACGCGUGGGUAACCUGCCUCAUACAGGGGGAUAACAGCUGGAAACGGCUGCUAAUACCGCAUAAGCGCACAGUGCUGCAUGGCACGGUGUGAAAAACUCUGGUGGUAUGAGAUGGACCCGCGUCUGAUUAGCUAGUUGGUAAGGUAACGGCUUACCAAGGCGACGAUCAGUAGCCGACCUGAGAGGGUGACCGGCCACAUUGGGACUGAGACACGGCCCAAACUCCUACGGGAGGCAGCAGUGGGGAAUAUUGCACAAUGGGCGAAAGCCUGAUGCAGCGACGCCGCGUGAGCGAAGAAGUAUUUCGGUAUGUAAAGCUCUAUCAGCAGGGAAGAAAAAAAUGACGGUACCUGACUAAGAAGCACCGGCUAAAUACGUGCCAGCAGCCGCGGUAA